This 763-nucleotide ribosomal RNA is filed under the name Cyphellophora reptans. Its description in RNAcentral is "eukaryotic LSU rRNA". It matches the Rfam family "Eukaryotic large subunit ribosomal RNA", at positions 99 to 879 of the family's 3401-position model. The record is from RNAcentral. Lineage: Eukaryota; Fungi; Ascomycota; Eurotiomycetes; Chaetothyriales; Cyphellophoraceae.
CGGCAACAGCUCAAAUUUGAAAUCUGGCCUCUGCGGGGUCCGAGUUGUAAUUUGGAGAGGAUGUUUCGGGCACGGUCCGGGCUUAAAUUUCUUGGAACAGAAUGUCACAGAGGGUGAGAAUCCCGUCUGGAGUCCGGACACGGCCCAUGUGAAACUCCUUCGACGAGUCGAGUUGUUUGGGAAUGCAGCUCUAAAUGGGUGGUAAAUUUCAUCUAAAGCUAAAUAUUGGCCAGAGACCGAUAGCGCACAAGUAGAGUGAUCGAAAGAUGAAAAGCACUUUGAAAAGAGAGUUAAACAGUACGUGAAAUUGUUGAAAGGGAAGCGCUGUCAACCAGACUUGCGCGUCGGGGUUCCCCCUUGCUUCUGCCUGGGUUACUCCCCGGCGUUCAGGCCAACAUCGGUUUCGGGGGUUGGUUAAAGGCCCUGGGAAUGUAUCUACCCUCCGGGGUAGACUUAUAGCCCAGGGUGUCAUGCGACCUCCCGGGACCGAGGAACGCGCUUCGGCUCGGAUGUUGGCGUAAUGGUUGUCAGCGACCCGUCUUGAAACACGGACCAAGGAGUCUAACAUCUAUGCGAGUGUUAGGGUGUCAAACCCUUACGCGGAAUGAAAGUGAACGGAGGUAGGAAGCCUUAAGGCUGCACUAUCGACCGAUCCUGAUGUCUUCGGAUGGAUUUGAGUAAGAGCAUAGCUGUUGGGACCCGAAAGAUGGUGAACUAUGCCUGAAUAGGGUGAAGCCAGAGGAAACUCUGGUGGAGGCUCGCA